Xenorhabdus vietnamensis is the source of this 144-nucleotide non-coding RNA. NCBI's taxonomy places the organism in Bacteria, Pseudomonadati, Pseudomonadota, Gammaproteobacteria, Enterobacterales, Morganellaceae. The record is from Rfam.
UAUCUUGUUUGUAUCCUAAUGAUCUUAUCGCCUGUAAAGAUCGCCUUCGGGUGGCGAGCAAAACUCCUGUAGCCUGAAAGGGAGAGCAAGCAUUGCGGUACAUCUGCGCACUUUUGGAAGCAGAUAUCGUCGGAUAAAUAACCA